UACGGAGGGAGCUAGCGUUGUUCGGAAUUACUGGGCGUAAAGCGUGCGUAGACGGCUAUCUAAGUCGGGUGUGAAAGCCCCGGGCUCAACCUGGGAAUUGCAUUCGAGACUGAAUAGCUAGGGUACGGUAGAGGGAAGUGGAAUUUCCGGUGUAGCGGUGAAAUGCGUAGAUAUCGGAAGGAACAUCAGUGGCGAAAGCGACUUCCUGGACCAGUACCGACGUUCAGGCACGAAAGCGUGGGGAGCAAACAGG
This 253-nucleotide ribosomal RNA is filed under the name uncultured bacterium. RNAcentral's name for it is "partial 16S ribosomal RNA". It matches the Rfam family "Bacterial small subunit ribosomal RNA", at positions 524 to 776 of the family's 1533-position model. The record is from RNAcentral.